CUUGUAGUGUGGUUCUAGGUGGAAGCUAGCUAUAGUCUUGCAGACCAGCCUAGGAGCUAUUAGAUGAGCAGGAUGGGAGGAGAAGUGACUCAACUGUGGUGAAAGGACGACUCCUGCUGGCUCAAGCUGGGUAAGACCCCAUAAGUCUAGCCCAGGUGAGGACAGGAUCCUCCCCACAUCUCUCUCCCUUGCAUUGUGGAGCCACACUUUAAUGCUUCCCCACCUCUGAUGCCAUGGCCGGGCUGCUAUUUGUCACAUCAA
This 261-nucleotide long non-coding RNA is filed under the name Sparus aurata (gilthead seabream). Its description in RNAcentral is "lncRNA (ENSSAUG00010012393.1)". Lineage: Eukaryota; Metazoa; Chordata; Actinopteri; Spariformes; Sparidae. The record is from RNAcentral.